This 249-nucleotide ribosomal RNA is filed under the name uncultured bacterium. RNAcentral describes it as "partial 16S ribosomal RNA". It matches the Rfam family "Bacterial small subunit ribosomal RNA", at positions 524 to 776 of the family's 1533-position model. The record is from RNAcentral.
UACGGGGGGGCAAGCGUUGUUCGGAAUUACUGGGCGUAAAGGGCUCGUAGGCGGCCAACUAAGUCAGACGUGAAAUCCCUCGGCUUAACCGGGAACUGCGUCUGAUACUGGAUGGCUUGAGGUUGGGAGAGGGAUGCGGAAUUCCAGGUGUAGCGGUGAAAUGCGUAGAUAUCUGGAGGAACACCGGUGGCGAAGGCGGCAUCCUGGACCAAUUCUGACGCUGAGGAGCGAAGCCAGGGAGCAAACGGG